Molecule: long non-coding RNA, 1875 nt
Filed under: Vigna radiata
Lineage: Eukaryota; Viridiplantae; Streptophyta; Magnoliopsida; Fabales; Fabaceae
Description: long non-coding RNA (VRAD_LNC007597)
Source: RNAcentral
UUCACAUAUAUUUAUUUCCACCAUUUUCUAGCACAUUAAUCUUAUUUUAUAUGGUACAUGGUACAUAUAUAUUUUGCAUGUUGUUCUUGGUGACAUUCUGAAUUUCAUUGAACCGACAACAGUUGUGGAGAAUCGCGACAAAGAACAACUUCUAACGACAUAGAUGGUCUCAGAUCACUUGUUCUCCAGUCACAAACAAUAUCAGGAGCUCAUCAAAUUCAGGUAACCAGAGAGACAUAGCAUUUGUUUGCAUAUUCAGAACUGAGAAUGUUUCCCUCUACAAUGAUAGCACAUUAGUGACAAAUGAGCUUACAAGAGUGUGAUUCAACACAACAGAAGAACAACAUGGCAGUUUCUAAUUUGGAGUGCAAGAAUCCAAGCUUAGAAUUCACAUUAGGAAGACCACAUUGGGAUGGCAAAGAGCAAGCGUAACUAAACUUGAUUUGUUUCCUUCUUUUGGGUUUUGUUUUGGAAUUUUAUUUAUAAACCAUGGUGACAACUUCAUCAUCUUUUAUGAAAUGUAGAGCUGAUUAUUUAGAUAAAUAUAAAUUGGUGUCUAGGAGAUGAAGAAAAGACCCUUUCUAGUUCUGCUUCGGGAAGUGUUUUCAGUUCAUGACAGUUUUGUUCACAUUUUAUAUUUUUUUAUUUAUCGGAGAGGAUAAGGUAACAAUGGGAAAUUAUGAUGUAGCAACAAGGCUUUAUGAACCAAGAUGAUGCAUAUGCAAAUGUACAAGAGCGAAGGAGGGAGAGAGAUUGAAAAUUGUAAGUGUAGGAAAGGAAUAAACAAGUUUAAUCAUAUUUUUUGUUCACCUAGAAUGUUUUCAUUUCUCUCCUUUUCUUCAUUUUUUUAGGUUCUCCCUCUUCUAAUUACGUAAAUAUAAUAAAUAAUCUGCAUUUAAUUGAAAAAAUAUAUAGCAAGCUUUUGUAUAUAUAUAUAUGUAUACUCCUAAAUUUCAUAAUCACCUAAGUAAUGUGUAGUUAUGUUAAAUACUUAAAGAAAAAGUUUUGUAAUCUACAUUUAUCCUUUUAGAUUGGAGCAAAAUAGAUCAAUAGUAUAUUCCUUUAAAAUACUUAAUGUAGUUACAUUUUUAAUAUAAAAAACUUAGUCACUUGACAAAUCACUAAAAUCUCAUUCCAACCAUAUAGUCACUAAAAUCAACUGCUAUUGAAAAGGAAAGGAAAGGAAAAGCGAAAUCAAUACCCCGAUUGGGGUCGGGUCCAUUCAGCCAUGGACCUUUAUUUAGACUCAAAUGAAGUUUUAUAACCAAAACCAACUCAAUUGAAUCAAAAUAUGCAUUAAUAAGAAUUGAAAUACGAAACCAAAAUAUGCAAAUCCUCAAAAUCCAAAUAAAAUCAUCAAAUUCACAUAAACCAUGGAAGCAUGAAACUUUAAAAACAGUACUAAACAACAUGCAGAUGCCCUCUGUUUCAAAAACGUUCAAUGUUGAAAACAUUAAACAGAACAUCCACACACUUGGCAUUGUUGGCUAAAAGCGUGAAAACAGAGAAAUGGGUUCCGUAUCAAACCUCAAAAAGGAUUGAACUUUGGGAAGAAAUGGAAACGGGGUGUCACUUCCUAUCACCGCCUACGCUAGCAUGACACUAACGCUUCCUCUUCCACUUCUCGCGUUCUCAGCCCCAAUCCUAGCAGAGCUAGAACAGUCGUUCUUCGAACAUGAACCCUAGCAUAUCUAGAACACUCUUUCUUCGAACAGGAAAUUGUGACAAAAAGUGAAUCAAAACAUCAGUCAAUCGAAAUCAGAAACGCAGCGUUUCAUUUAGAGCGUAAAUGACUAAAUUACCGACGUCCAGAAUGUGAGUUGUCAAAUGAAUGUCAUUUUCUCUAACGGUGCCAAAGUAACAUUUCUGUUUUCA